Non-coding RNA from Chlorocebus sabaeus (green monkey), 119 nucleotides. The record is from Rfam. NCBI's taxonomy places the organism in Eukaryota, Metazoa, Chordata, Mammalia, Primates, Cercopithecidae.
GCCUACAGCCAUACUACCUUGAACAUGUCUGAUCUCAUCUGAUCUCAGAAGCAAAGCAGCGUCAGGUCUGGUUAGUACUUGCAUGGGAGAAAAUUUAGAAAACUUACAAGAAGAAAGAG